AGAUAGCUUGGUCGGCAGAGCAUGAGACUCUUAAUCUCGGGGUCAUGGGUUUGAGCCCCAUGUUGAGUA
This is a non-coding RNA of Podarcis lilfordi (Lilford's wall lizard), 69 nucleotides long. The record is from the annotation of a GenBank genome assembly. Lineage: Eukaryota; Metazoa; Chordata; Lepidosauria; Squamata; Lacertidae.